UACGUAGGGUGCGAGCGUUAAUCGGAAUUACUGGGCGUAAAGCGUGCGCAGGCGGCGCGUUAAGACAGGUGUGAAAGCCCCGAGCUUAACUUGGGAAUUGCGCUUGUGACUGGCGAGCUGGAGUGUGGCAGAGGGAGGUGGAAUUCCACGUGUAGCAGUGAAAUGCGUAGAUAUGGGGAGGAACACCGGUGGCGAAGGCGGCCAUCUGGACGGAUACUGACGCUGAGACGCGAAAGCGUGGGGAGCAAACAGG
This 253-nucleotide ribosomal RNA is filed under the name uncultured bacterium. Its description in RNAcentral is "partial 16S ribosomal RNA". It matches the Rfam family "Bacterial small subunit ribosomal RNA", at positions 524 to 776 of the family's 1533-position model. The record is from RNAcentral.